UGUGUAGGCGGUUGUUUAAGUUUGGUGUGAAAUCUCCCGGCUCAACUGGGAGGGUGCGCCGAAUACUGAAUGACUAGAGUGCGGGAGAGGAAAGUGGAAUUCCUGGUGUAGCGGUGAAAUGCGUAGAUAUCAGGAGGAACACCGGUGGUGUAGACGGCUUUCUGGACCGUAACUGACGCUGAGACACGAAAGCGUGGGUAGCAAACAGGAUUAGAUACCCUGGUAGUCCACGCCCUAAACGAUGCAUAUUUGGUGUGGGCAGUUCAUUCUGUCCGUGCCGGAGCUAACGCGUUAAAUAUGCCGCCUGGGGAGUACAGUCGCAAGGCUGAA
Molecule: ribosomal RNA, 330 nt
Filed under: uncultured bacterium
Lineage: Bacteria
Description: bacterial SSU rRNA
Rfam family: Bacterial small subunit ribosomal RNA
Source: RNAcentral